AUUGAACGCUGGCGGCAUGCUUUACACAUGCAAGUCGAACGGUAACAGGCCGCAAGGUGCUGACGAGUGGCGAACGGGUGAGUAAUGCAUCGGAACGUGCCCAGUCGUGGGGGAUAACUACUCGAAAGAGUAGCUAAUACCGCAUACGAUCUAUGGAUGAAAGCGGGGGACCGUAAGGCCUCGCGCGAUUGGAGCGGCCGAUGUCAGAUUAGGUAGUUGGUGGGGUAAAGGCUCACCAAGCCAACGAUCUGUAGCUGGUCUGAGAGGACGACCAGCCACACUGGGACUGAGACACGGCCCAGACUCCUACGGGAGGCAGCAGUGGGGGAUUUUGGACAAUGGGCGCAAGCCUGAUCCAGCAAUGCCGCGUGCAGGAAGAAGGCCUUCGGGUUGUAAACUGCUUUUGUACGGAACGAAACGGCUCUGGUUAAUACCCGGGGCUAAUGACGGUACCGUAAGAAUAAGCACCGGCUAACUACGUG
Molecule: ribosomal RNA, 482 nt
Filed under: uncultured bacterium
Lineage: Bacteria
Description: partial 16S ribosomal RNA
Rfam family: Bacterial small subunit ribosomal RNA
Source: RNAcentral